RNAcentral lists this ribosomal RNA (363 nucleotides) under uncultured bacterium. RNAcentral describes it as "partial 16S ribosomal RNA". It matches the Rfam family "Bacterial small subunit ribosomal RNA", at positions 338 to 698 of the family's 1533-position model. The record is from RNAcentral.
CCUACGGGUGGCAGCAGUGAGGAAUAUUGGUCAAUGGGCGCGAGCCUGAACCAGCCAAGUAGCGUGAAGGAUGACUGCCCUACGGGUUGUAAACUUCUUUUAUAAAGGAAUAAAGUGAGGCACGUGUGCCUUUUUGUAUGUACUUUAUGAAUAAGGAUCGGCUUACUCCGUGCCAGCAGCCGCGGUAAUACGGAGGAUCCGAGCGUUAUCCGGAUUUAUUGGGUUUAAAGGGAGCGUAGAUGGGUUGUUAAGUCAGUUGUGAAAGUUUGCGGGUCAACCGUGAAAUUGCAAUUGCUACUGGCAGUCUUGAGUACAGUGGAGGUAGGCGGGAUUCGUGGGGGAGCGGUGAAAUGCUUAGGUAAC